CUCACUCUCUCUCCCAAAUAACCACCACAUUUCCCAUUUCUUCCCAAACUACCCUCUCUCUCUCUCUCUCUCUCUCUCUCUCUCUCUCUCACUCCACCAUGGUUCUGAGCAAAGUCACCACCGCGAAGCGAAGCUUGAAGCGGAAGCUCGAGCCGGAAUUCGAAGACCGAAGCGAAGACGAUCGCAAGGUUUUCGCUUCCGAGCCACGCGAUGCCUCUGAUCGUGAUCUCGUCCCUGAUAUUCUCGCUCAGAUCAGUGUUCUCAACUCCGCUCUCUCUUCCUCCGAAGCCGACCGCGCUGCUGCCAAGAGCGCCGCCGCUUCCAUCGCCGAAGUCGCCAAAAACGAGGAUAUUGUGGAUAUAAUAGUGGAGUCUGGUGCGGUUCCGGCUUUAGUGAAGCAUCUCCAGGUGCCAGCAGAUGUAAGAGAGGGUGACAGUGAUCUGAGGCUGUAUGAGCAUGAGGUGGAGAAAGGGAGCGCUUUUGCACUUGGACUUCUUGCUGUCAAACCAGAGCAUCAACAGCUCAUUGUUGAUGCUGGAGCUGUACCCCAUCUUGUGGAUUUGUUAAAGAGAAACAAGAAUGGUUGUAACCCCCGAGCAGUCAAUGGUGUUAUUAGGAGAGCUGCUGAUGCAAUAACUAACCUUGCUCAUGAGAAUAGUGUUAUUAAAACCUUUGUCAGGUUUGAAGGUGGCAUUCCUCCUCUUGUUGAACUGCUCGACUCCACUGAUGCAAAGGUACAAAGAGCAGCUGCAGGGGCCCUACGUACCCUUGCUUUUAAAAAUGAUGAAAACAAAACUCAGAUUGUAGAAUGUAAUGCUCUACCAACCCUUAUACUAAUGCUCUGGUCUGAAGAUGCCACUAUACAUUAUGAAGCGGUUGGUGUAAUAGGUAAUCUGGUCCACUCAUCCCCAAAAAUUAAAAAAGAAGUUCUCCUUGCUGGAGCUUUACAACCUGUUAUCAGAUUGCUUAGUUCCUCUUGUCCGGAGAGCCAAAGAGAAGCGGCUCUGUUACUUGGUCAAUUUGCUGGGGCCGAUUCUGAUACUAAGGUGCACAUUGUUCAGAGGGGUGCUGUCCAGCCUUUAAUUGAGAUGCUUAAGUCCCCAGAUGCACAGCUUAGAGAGAUGUCAGCUUUUGCACUAGGGAGGUUGGCACAGGACAAGCACAACCAAGCUGGCAUUGCUCAUAGUGGAGGUAUAGUGCCUCUACUCAAACUUAUUGACUCAAGAAAUGGAGCUUUGCAGCAUAAUUCUGCAUUUGCUAUAUAUGGUCUUGCAGAUAAUGAGGAUAAUGUUGUAGAUCUUAUCAAGGUUGGCGGUGUUCAGAAACUUCAAGAAGGAGAAUUUACUGUUCAACCAACUAAAGAUUGUGUGGCAAAGACAUUCAAAAGAUUAGAGGAGAAGAUUCAUGGACGUGUACUAAACCAUUUGCUAUAUCUGAUGCGGGUUUCAGAAAAGGCAGUUCAAAUACAGGUUGCCUUGGCUCUUGCUCAUCUUUGUGCACCCGAUGAUCGAAAAGCUAUUUUUAUUGAUAGCAAUGGUUUAGAGUUGCUGCUUGAGCUUUUACAGUCUACAAGCCUGAAGCAGAAACAAGAUGGUUCAGGGGCCCUGUACAAGUUGGCUACCAAGGCAACUUCACUCUCUCCUGUAGAUGCUGCUCCUCCAUCACCGAAUCCACAGGUGUAUUUGGGUGAGCAAUAUGUGAACAAUCCUACGCUUUCUGAUGUCACCUUCUUAGUUGAAGGUAAACGGUUCUAUGCUCACAGAAUUUGUCUGCUUGCUUCUUCGGAUGCUUUCCGUGCAAUGUUUGAUGGUGGUUACAGAGAGAGGGAUGCUAAGGACAUACAGAUUCCAAAUAUUAGAUGGGACGUGUUUGAGUUGAUGAUGAGAUUCAUAUACACAGGAUCAGUAGAAGUCAGUCUGGAUAUUGCACAGGAUCUCCUCAGAGCUGCUGAUCAGUACCUUUUGGAUGGUCUUAAGCAUCUCUGCGAGUAUGCUAUUGCUCAGGAUAUUUGUGUGGAAAAUGUUUCCCUAAUGUACGAGUUAUCAGAAGCCUUUAAUGCUAUGUCAUUAAGGAAAGCAUGCAUACUGUUUAUUUUGGAGCAGUUUGACAAAUUGAGUGCCAAACCAUGGUACUCUCAACUGAUCAAGUGCAUUGUACCAGAGAUACGCAAAUUCUUCACUAAUAUACUUACAAAGCCUAUUCAAGCUGAUUUGCAGCAAUUAUAGAUGGUUCAGCUCAAGUUUUAAUCUUUUGACUAACAAUCAAGGUGGAAGACAAAUGAUGUACAGAAAGAUCUUUGCCCAAACGGUCAGUUUCAUGUUAAUGAGCACCGUUAUUUCUCAAACCCAGCAACGCACUGCCAUCAAAAGCCAGUCCAUUGCCAUCUCAACCCAAACACAAAAAGCCCGGAUCAGCCCAUGGAAAAGCUUCGUGGAUUUUUGUUUUUCACCAAAAGGCAUAUUGCUACGGUCACACACACAUGGCAGAGAGGGAAGAGGAUUUUUGAAAGAGUUACAAUACGGUAUAUAGUUAAAAGAGUUACAGCCUUAAACUCAUACACAGGACAUUGUUAUUUAUUGUGGAGUCUUUUUUAUUUAUUAUGAGUGAUG
Molecule: RNA transcript, 2609 nt
Organism: Quercus lobata
Lineage: Eukaryota; Viridiplantae; Streptophyta; Magnoliopsida; Fagales; Fagaceae
Gene name: ARM REPEAT PROTEIN INTERACTING WITH ABF2-like
Exons: 20
Source: RefSeq, a predicted model, not a curated record